UACGUAGGGUGCGAGCGUUAAUCGGAAUUACUGGGCGUAAAGCGUGCGCAGGCGGUUAUGUAAGACAGAUGUGAAAUGCCCGGGCUUAAACUGGGAACUGCAUUUGUGACUGCAUGGCUAGAGUUUGGCAGAGGGGGGUAGAAUUCCACGUGUAGCAGUGAAAUGCGUAGAUAUGUGGAGGAACACCGAUGGCGAAGGCAGCCCCCUGGGUCAAGACUGACGCUCAUGCACGAAAGCGUGGGGAGCAAACAGG
Molecule: ribosomal RNA, 253 nt
Filed under: uncultured bacterium
Lineage: Bacteria
Description: partial 16S ribosomal RNA
Rfam family: Bacterial small subunit ribosomal RNA
Source: RNAcentral